The sequence is a transfer RNA, 77 nucleotides long. It matches the Rfam family "tRNA", at positions 1 to 61 of the family's 71-position model. Rfam says of the family: Transfer RNA (tRNA) molecules are approximately 80 nucleotides in length. Their secondary structure includes four short double-helical elements and three loops (D, anti-codon, and T loops). Further hydrogen bonds mediate the characteristic L-shaped molecular structure. tRNAs have two regions of fundamental functional importance: the anti-codon, which is responsible for specific mRNA codon recognition, and the 3' end, to which the tRNAs corresponding amino acid is attached (by aminoacyl-tRNA synthetases). tRNAs cope with the degeneracy of the genetic code in two manners: having more than one tRNA (with a specific anti-codon) for a particular amino acid; and 'wobble' base-pairing, i.e. permitting non-standard base-pairing at the 3rd anti-codon position.
GGGCUGGUAGAUCAACUGGUAGAUCGCUGCCCUUGCAAGGCAGAGGCUGUGGGUUCGAAAGCGACCCGAAGGUUCCU